GCUCAGAUUGAACGCUGGCGGCAUGCCUUACACAUGCAAGUCGAACGGCAGCACGGGAGCAAUCCUGGUGGCGAGUGGCGAACGGGUGAGUAAUAUAUCGGAACGUGCCCAGUCGUGGGGGAUAACGCAGCGAAAGCUGUGCUAAUACCGCAUACGAUCUCUGGAUGAAAGCGGGGGACUCGUAAGAGCCUCGCGCGAUUGGAGCGGCCGAUAUCAGAUUAGCUAGUUGGUGGGGUAAAGGCCCACCAAGGCGACGAUCUGUAGCUGGUCUGAGAGGACGACCAGCCACACUGGAACUGAGACACGGUCCAGACUCCUACGGGAGGCAGCAGUGGGGAAUUUUGGACAAUGGGCGCAAGCCUGAUCCAGCAAUGCCGCGUGCAGGAUGAAGGCCUUCGGGUUGUAAACUGCUUUUGUACGGAACGAAAAGGUUUGCCUUAAUACGGUGGGCCCAUGACGGUACCGUAAGAAUAAGCACCGGCUAACUACGUGCCAGCAGCCGCGGUAAUACGUAGGGUGCGAGCGUUAAUCGGAAUUACUGGGCGUAAAGCGUGCGCAGGCGGUUAUAUAAGACAGAUGUGAAAUCCCCGGGCUCAACCUGGGACCUGCAUUUGUGACUGUAUAGCUAGAGUACGGUAGAGGGGGAUGGAAUUCCGCGUGUAGCAGUGAAAUGCGU
This 676-nucleotide ribosomal RNA is filed under the name uncultured bacterium. Its description in RNAcentral is "bacterial SSU rRNA". It matches the Rfam family "Bacterial small subunit ribosomal RNA", at positions 22 to 691 of the family's 1533-position model. The record is from RNAcentral.